This 402-nucleotide ribosomal RNA is filed under the name uncultured bacterium. Its description in RNAcentral is "bacterial SSU rRNA". It matches the Rfam family "Bacterial small subunit ribosomal RNA", at positions 362 to 758 of the family's 1533-position model. The record is from RNAcentral.
UUUUGGACAAUGGGCGCAAGCCUGAUCCAGCAAUGCCGCGUGAGUGAAGAAGGCCUUCGGGUUGUAAAGCUCUUUUGUCAGGGAAGAAACGGUGAGCUCUAAUACAGUUUGCUAAUGACGGUACCUGAAGAAUGAGCACCGGCUAACUACGUGCCAGCAGCCGCGGUAAUACGUAGGGUGCAAGCGUUAAUCGGAAUUACUGGGCGUAAAGCGUGCGCAGGCGGUUAUGUAAGUCAGAUGUGAAAUCCCCGGGCUCAACCUGGGAAUAGCAUUUGAGACUGCAUGGCUAGAGUGUGUCAGAGGGGGGUAGAAUUCCACGUGUAGCAGUGAAAUGCGUAGAGAUGUGGAGGAAUACCGAUGGCGAAGGCAGCCCCCUGGGAUAACACUACGCUCAUCACGGAG